This 700-nucleotide ribosomal RNA is filed under the name Leucobacter tardus. RNAcentral's name for it is "bacterial SSU rRNA". It matches the Rfam family "Bacterial small subunit ribosomal RNA", at positions 758 to 1454 of the family's 1533-position model. The record is from RNAcentral. Lineage: Bacteria; Bacillati; Actinomycetota; Actinomycetes; Micrococcales; Microbacteriaceae.
AGCAUGGGGAGCGAACAGGAUUAGAUACCCUGGUAGUCCAUGCCGUAAACGUUGGGAACUAGAUGUAGGGCCUGUUCCACGGGUUCUGUGUCGUAGCUAACGCAUUAAGUUCCCCGCCUGGGGAGUACGGCCGCAAGGCUAAAACUCAAAGGAAUUGACGGGGGCCCGCACAAGCGGCGGAGCAUGCGGAUUAAUUCGAUGCAACGCGAAGAACCUUACCAAGGCUUGACAUAUAGAAGAACGGGUCAGAAAUGAUUCACUCUUUGGACACUUCUAUACAGGUGGUGCAUGGUUGUCGUCAGCUCGUGUCGUGAGAUGUUCGGUUAAGUCCGGCAACGAGCGCAACCCUCGUCCUAUGUUGCCAGCACGUAAUGGUGGGAACUCAUGGGAUACUGCCGUGGUCAACACGGAGGAAGGUGGGGAUGACGUCAAAUCAUCAUGCCCCUUAUGUCUUGGGCUUCACGCAUGCUACAAUGGCCGGUACAAUGGGCUGCGAUACCGCGAGGUGGAGCGAAUCCCAAAAAGCCGGUCUCAGUUCGGAUUGGGGUCUGCAACUCGACCCCAUGAAGUCGGAGUCGCUAGUAAUCGCAGAUCAGCAACGCUGCGGUGAAUACGUUCCCGGGCCUUGUACACACCGCCCGUCAAGUCAUGAAAGUCGGUAACACCCGAAGCCGGUGGCCUAACCCUUGUGGAGGGAGCC